AUGAACUCCAUUGAUAGUUAUGCCAGAAAUUUUUUAUAUAAGGAAUUUCCUGAAUUUUAUGUAUGGCAAAGAAACCACAAAACAUGGAGACGUCGUACGCAGAGGAUUCAAAUAGGUAGACUUGUGGCUGCUCACCCUGCAGAGGGCGAGAGAUAUUACUUGAGGGUAUUGCUAAACCAUGUUAGGGUGGCUACAUCUUUUGAGGAUUUACGUACUGUUGAAGGCAUAGUUUGUUCCACUUUUAGAGAGGCUGCAGAGAGAAGGGGACUCAUUGAAGCAGACAAUAGUAUUUCUGAUUGUCUCACGGAAGCUGCAACAUUUCAAAUGCCUUAUGCACUUAGGAGGCUUUUUGCUACAGUUUUGGCCUUCUGUGAGGUAACACAUGUUCGUGCAUUGUGGGACAAGCACUUUGAAGCCAUGUCUGAUGAUUUUCGUAGGGAGAGCAUAAGUAAUGAAGCAAUUGAGCAGAGGGUGCUUAGAGAUAUUGGAGAUUUGCUAUACUCUAUGGGUAAGGACAUCCAGAGCUUUGAUCUUCCUGAUCUAAUGGAUGCCGCUGAUUUGGAAAGCUUAGAGCAGAGAGAAUUAACUGAAGAGAUGUAUAUUUUAGUUGAUAAAGAAGACUUACAAUUGUGUGAAACUUUGAACAAUGAACAACAGCUUGCUUUUGAUGACAUAAUGAACCAUGUUAUACAAAAGAAGGGUAAGGUCUUCUUC
RNAcentral lists this ribosomal RNA (714 nucleotides) under Triticum aestivum (bread wheat). RNAcentral's name for it is "partial small subunit ribosomal RNA". Lineage: Eukaryota; Viridiplantae; Streptophyta; Magnoliopsida; Poales; Poaceae. The record is from RNAcentral.